RNAcentral lists this ribosomal RNA (450 nucleotides) under uncultured bacterium. RNAcentral describes it as "partial 16S ribosomal RNA". It matches the Rfam family "Bacterial small subunit ribosomal RNA", at positions 354 to 796 of the family's 1533-position model. The record is from RNAcentral.
GUUAGGAAUAUUGGACAAUGGGCGAAAGCCUGAUCCAGCCAUGCCGCGUGUGUGAAGAAGGUCUUCGGAUUGUAAAGCACUUUAAGUUGGGAGGAAGGGCAGUAAGUUAAUACCUUGCUGUUUUGACGUUACCGACAGAAUAAGCACCGGCUAACUUCGUGCCAGCAGCCGCGGUAAUACGAAGGGUGCAAGCGUUAAUCGGAAUUACUGGGCGUAAAGCGCGCGUAGGUGGUUUUGUAAGUUGGAGGUGAAAUCCCCGGGCUCAACCUGGGAACUGCCUCCAAAACUGCAUGACUAGAGUACGGUAGAGGGUAGUGGAAUUUCCUGUGUAGCGGUGAAAUGCGUAGAUAUAGGAAGGAACACCAGUGGCGAAGGCGACUACCUGGACUGAUACUGACACUGAGGUGCGAAAGCGUGGGGAGCAAACAGGAUUAGAAACCCUUGUAGUCC